Orcinus orca (killer whale) is the source of this 2066-nucleotide long non-coding RNA. RefSeq lists it as uncharacterized. The record is from RefSeq and is a predicted model, not a curated record. The transcript is spliced from 3 exons. NCBI's taxonomy places the organism in Eukaryota, Metazoa, Chordata, Mammalia, Artiodactyla, Delphinidae.
UUUUAGUGGAGUGAGUAGAAGCAGCCAGAUUCCAGUGAAGUAGAUGGGCUUGGAGGGACGAAGAAGGGACCGACGGGGUAACUUUGGUUUUCAAUAGACAGGAAGAGCGACAAAGGAGAGGUAGAUACAGCAGUGAGGAGCUAAGAGAACAGGAUAUUUGUGUAUAAAUGAUGGGAAAACGGGCUGAAGGAGAAGGUCCAGUUGGAAAACUAUAAAGUGAAGGCCACAGGAGUGACAGCUGGUUAGAAGUUCUUGAGAAGGUGAAAGAUGAUCGAGCGCGCAAGAGGAAUCUUGGGAGAGGUGGAAAUAAACUACUACUGACGCUGGAAGGAAAAUGAGUAGCCAUGGAGGUAGUAACAACAGCUACAACUUAUUUAUGCUCUAUAAGCGUCAGGAACUUUUAGUACUUCCUUUAACGCUCACAAAGCUUUCAGUACAAUACCACGCCCCCGUCCCAACAGGUGCUGCGAAAGGGGCGGGGCCUCGACUCUGAUAGGGUUCCUCCCUCCCCGGGGCCCCGCCCGGUCCCCCAGAUUGGAUGGUGAGCGCACGCUUCCAUUAGGGCAGGACGUAGGGGGCGUGCUCUCCAGGACUGGGCGGUUUCAGAAGCCACCCCUAACCGUCUGGAAACGGGAUCCUCUAGGAAGCAGGAGGAGUGAAAGCUGAAUUUCUGGAAGAAGGCCUACGGGAGCCGGGAAGAUGGAUGUAAAAAAGCACUGCCUGGGUGAUACAUGCGCGCGGCAAGCGCGACAGUGAAGGGUCGGCUCCAGUGCGCAAGCGCCGAGGCCUGCUGGGCAUGGCGUUUCCCUUCUGUAUUUAUUUAUUUGGCUGUGCCAGGUCUUAGUUGCAGCACACAGAAUCUUUGUUGCGACAUUCGAGAUCUAGUUCCCUGACCAGGGAUCGGACCUGGACCAUCUGCGUUGGGAGUGUGGAGUCUUAACUGCUGGACCACCAGGGAGGUCCCACACACAUUGAUUUAGACCACCCACUUCUGCCAUCUUUGCACUGCAGCCAAAGUGAUCUUUAUAAGUAAAAAUCCUGUUUCAGGGGCUUCCCUGGUGGCGCAGUGGUUGAGAGUCUGCCUGCCGAUGCAGGGGACACGGGUUUGUGCCCCGGUCAGGAAGAUCCCACAUGCCGCGGAGCGGCUGGGCCCGUGAGCCAUGGUCGCUGAGCCUGUGCGUCCGGAGCCUGUGCUCCGCAACGGGAGAGGCCACAACAGUGAGAGGCCCGCGUACAGCAAAAAAAAGAAAAGAAAAAAAUCCUGUUUCACAUCUUGUAAAAGUGCGUUAAUACUUUUCUAAGGAAGGUGCUUCAAAGAAUUACUGGAUCAUGUGGCAUUUGUACUUUGUAUUUUUUUUUUUUUUUUUUGGCCGUGCUGUGCAACUUGAGGGAUCUUAGUUCCCCGACCAGGGAUUGAACCAGAGGCCACGGCAGUGUGAAAGCGCUGAGUCCUAAUCACUGGAGCCCCAGGGAAUUCCCUGCCCUUUGUAUUUUGAUAGCAGCUCCACAUUGCCAUUUAAUUUCCCUGUGCCAAUUUCCCCUCACAGCAGUGUGUAGGAGUUUCAAUUUCCCAGCAAACUCACCAAGACUUGAUAUUACCAAACAUUUGAAUGUCUGCAUUCUGUUAUGUGAAAAAUGGUAUCGUUUAAUCUGAUUUGUCUGAUUGCUAGUAACUUAGAAAAUCUUAUUAAAUGUAGUAUUACAGCUUUUUUCUUUUUUUGCCUUCCUUUUGAUUAAUCAAAUAAUUAUCUAAGUAUUAUAUGUCUUAAUACUUUUAGUAGUUCUGAAUAGUGUAAAAAUGGUAGACCAGCCCCUUCCUACCUUAUGUGCUAUGAAUGUCAAGGGUAUUAGUGAUAUAUUUUAAACUCUAUAUGACAUGGUUACUAUUAUUUUAUAGUCAAUUUUACUUAGAAUAACUGACAUAUUUACCCUUUUUAUUGUUAUACAUUCUAUUCUGUAUCUUGGUGGUUCUUUCGGGGAUUAUUUUCCUUUCUCUUGAAUUGUAUUUCCUUGAGUACAUUUGUGCUAAUCACAAAUCUUCUCAGUUUUUGUAUUAAGUGUAUUUU